RNAcentral lists this long non-coding RNA (7113 nucleotides) under Fragaria vesca (wild strawberry). RNAcentral describes it as "long non-coding RNA (FVES_LNC002256)". Lineage: Eukaryota; Viridiplantae; Streptophyta; Magnoliopsida; Rosales; Rosaceae. The record is from RNAcentral.
GCUUGACUUAUAUAGGUGUGAAUGAUGGAUAUAUAUGAUGGCAACAUUUGAAACUUUCAGCCAGAUGUGGUUGAGUUGCUGUAACAAUAAGGGGUUAGAUAUUGCAAAUAUAUAUUCACAUAAAUCUAAUUUAUAAUUAAACAAUAAUUAUAAAUAAUGAACAUGAUGAACAUGAAACCAAUUACUAUGAACAACUUUGGUUACCACUCAUGAUUGAAGGAGAAAUAGAAUUUGUGAAAGCGAAUCGAGUGUUUUGGAACACUUAGAACCUUAGAAUGAAUAACACAAAUAUUGUUUUAUGCUAUCAACUCGGAUGUAGGACCUGAGGAAAGUGUUGAAGUCAAGUCGUGUGUCACACACACUUUCUUUAAGACAAAUUAUGCCUCAUCUACCAGUGCAAAAGGCUUGAUGACACUUGUCUUCCAGAAUACAACGACUGCUUGUGCUUUGGAGCUGCACUGCUGCCAAGAACACCCGAUAAACUUGUAGCACCUUCUAUAUAUCACCAGAACAACUACAACUAGAGAAAAGAUGACUCUUUGAGAGGAGGAGAUGACUAUCGAGUUUGUGUUUCGAAUGUCUGUUUAGAACAAAGGAAGUGUCACCUAUUUAUACAUAGAGGAAUGUGAUCAUCACUUGAAUGUCAUGAAUCCAUAUUCAUGAGUUAUAACCUUUCACAUGUCAACCCUUGACAUUCUUUGAUAUGUUACAACAUUUAACAUGUCAACCCUUAUCAUUCUUUAGUUACAAAAUUCAACAAUCAUUAAACUUGUUGUUACAGAAUCCAAAGGGUUAUGUAGUUGUAAAAAAUUCCAAAAUUCUAAAGGUCAGAAAAAGGUGAAAAAUCCAAAAACGUUUCAAAUAACCAUCUUUGAGUGACUAUUUCUUAUUCAUCUUAUAACCCAUUUAAAUUAUCCAAUUUAAAUUGGUUAAAUAAAAUGGUGAUUUUCACCAUUUUUCCAACAGCUGCCACAUGCCAUAUAUGUUAUAUCUAGUUCUAAAGUCUUUGGUAGCUUAAUUGAUGAUCGAGGCUCUUUGUGGUGCUAAACAGUAGAGGCCAUGGUAGCGACUGACUGCGAUAUGCCGAUAUUUGAUCAAUAAUAGACAAAUAUUGGUGAUGUAGAAGAAAAAAAAAAAAAGUCUAUCUGAUAUGAACCAAGGCCACGGCCGUACGUGCAGCUAGACUUGCUACCAAGCUUGGUUAAUAUGUGUGUGCGUUUGCUCUAGGAUGUUUUGCCCUUUACUCUUUUUAGCUUUCAUUUGCUACAUAUCUGACCAAUACAUCGAUCUCAAGCAAAUCCUAAAUGAAACUAUAGAAAGGUAUAUGACCAAAGAAAAUAAGAUACAAGAUCGAGAUCGAGGACGUAGUACUAAAGAAAUAUGUUGAUGGUAAACUGGAAACGCUAAACCAAGAAAAAUUAUUGGUGAGAUGAGCAAAAGACAUGUUGAACUGAGCAACAAAAGCAUCAGAAAAGAGAAUUUUUACACACACACAAGAAAAUUGAAGAAACUAAUGAAUUAUAUAUAUAUAUAUAUAUAUAUAUAUAUAUCUGCAGUGUACUGAAAGAAUGGAAAAUGGAACACAUAUGCAUUGCACAGUCAGGCUAGGAGUGAUUGAUCGGCUUGGAAAGAACAGCGGGCCCAUUUGGAUUUUAACGCACGUCAUCUAGAGAAUUUCAUGAUUUUUUUUUUUCAAGAAAAAUAUGACUGAUCAGGGCAAAAAUGGUUGACAUAUAUAUGGCCAUACGUUAUAGAAAAGAUUUAAGAGGAUAACUUUCAUUGUAUUGUAUUUUUGAAUUUUUAGCAUUUCAAGUUCUGAAUUUUGUUUAAAAGUUAGAUUAUAACGGAAAAUGUAAUAGUCAAAAAACCUUCAACAUCCCAAUAUCCUGAAAUGUUGUAAAAUUUCUGAUAAAAUAAAUUAUAGUAAAAUGUUCAGUUUGCUGUGUCUAAUUCUGCAACACUUAGUUGGUUUCGGAUGCCUAUAAGCAAUUAAUUUAUUGUUUUAUUAAUUAGAUUCAAUUAUUAUACGUUACAUCAUAUGUAAUAUUUGAAAUCAUAUUCUGGUUGAAUCUAAAAAUAAAAGUGAUUUUAUAGUCGUAAUAUAAAUGAUUAUUUGAGUCCACAGAGUACGUAUAUACCAGAUACACAUUUUUAUAUUCAAAAUGUUAUUAUUUAUCUAUUUAUGAUGAUGUCUGCUAGUUCACAAAGCAAACAAAAAUGAGAAAGCUAGGUAUCAAGUCCUAAGAAGGCCCUGGGUUUAAAGUUGAGGAUGGAGAUGGUGAAUUGGUGACGGUAGACCCAUCCUUGACCUACAAUGGCAUGUUCUCUAAUAGAAAUGCAUCGAUAUAUGUGUUCUGGACACCUAACCCUAUUGUUUAUCUUGUUUCUGGUCUGAAUUAAGCCUAUUUCUUUUCAACCUAUACCAGCUAGGCUAUAUAACAUUGCACUUUAUCUUCCCUAAUUCAAGUCUUCAGCUUCGCUAAUGAAAUUCCACAAAUUUUGCUGCACAAAAACUUGAGACGAUAAAUCCGGCCCGUAAAGUGAGCCAUGGUCUGAAGUUUAAAUUCUCAAAUAUAUAGCGCAAGACAGACCAACCCAGAAAAUACUUUCAGAAGUUCAGAUCUGAGAUUAUUUCAUCCCAAGGGUUCAUUUUGCUCGAACAACAUCAUCAAACCAUUUAUCUUUUGGUUUCGGUGCACCAAAGAGCGUAAGAACACUUCAGAGUUCAGAAGAAAUAUAUCAGAAGAGCAAUAAUACCUAUUCAUCGAGUUAUCUGCACUUUUUUUUUUCAGGUUAAAACUCCUGUCCGAGUUAAUUGAAUCCUUCUUUUACUGUUCUAAUUUAUAGAUAGUCCUGGUUAGCUUUCUGAAAAAAGUAGCCCAACCUGGAAACACCAGCUCUUCAUUCAAAACAACUAUUCACCAAAACAAAACAUGAUAAGGAUAGAUCAAACUCACAGAUCCAGAUCUUUGCAGUAAGCUGGUGAUGAUAGGAGACACAGAAAUUGAAUGUGUACCCUGACUAAUUAAAUCUGUUGAUUGUAAUUACCAUUGCUCUGCUUCCGGAGCUCUAUAAUCAUCAUCAUCAUCUCCUUUUCUCUUCUUUUUAAAUAAAAAAAAAAAAGAAAAGAAAAAGAAGAAGCUAAUCAAACCUGAAGAUUCAUCAUCUUUGCAAUGUAAAACUACUGAAUCUAAGAAAAAAGAAGAUUAAUUACAAGAAAACUAAUAUCAAGCAGAGAAACGCAGUCAUAAACUAUUUCUCUUGAUUCUUUAGCACCAAUGAUCUUACCUUCUGGGCUUUCUGCUAAUGUUGAUGCAGAGCAAGAUCGAAGAGAACAAAGUCUUAAAAAAUUCAGAUCCUAUUAAAGGAAAUCUAAGAUCUAAAACCUAUGAAGAAGUACAUUAUGAUUGUAUUUAAUUACUUUUCCAACAUCUACAGAGAGAUCCAAUUAAGGGGAAGAACAAGUUCAUCCAAUUAACCCAGUAAUUGAGAAACCCUAUCAAUCAAGCUGAGAAACCCUAAGAGGUAAAUCUGCAAAAACAAAGAAACCCUAGUGGUGACGAUGGCAAUUGAUCGAUCACAGCUUUGUUUUUGAGUGGUUGGACAAAUCGUAGAAGUGGGAGGCAGUGAGGCACCCAGCCGAUAGGGUUUUCUGAAGAGGGGCACUACUGAACUUAGAAAUGACCACUGCUUUUGGGGCGGUCGAAUCUAGCUAUUAUAACCCAUUAAUAAUUUAGUGCAAGAAAUAAUUGCUACUGCUCUCUGCCUUUUCUUCUCUGUCUUUAUCUGAAACAGCAUGAGCCAGUCCUUACACUUGGAAUCUGUCAACAAAUACCUAAUUUCAUUCACCCAAAUUUUUGGUUGAGGAAGGUAGAAAAUCAUGAAACAAGUAUAGGAUAAAGCAGCCUGAGAAGUACAAUAUGAAAUUGGACAGACUUUUUCAUAUUGGGGUCUUGUACACUAUAAUGUCGAAAGUGAACAUUAUGAUGAACAAAUUCGAUCACUUAGAAGAAAGAAAGAAGUUAAAGUUUGAUUGGAGAACUAGAAUAGCUAGAAUAGCUAGGGCGUGGGGAGAUAAGUUUCAGAGAAAGUGACCAAUCUUAUUUGAGAUGCUUUGAAAUAAGGUGGCAAGAAGUACAGGCGUGCCAAAUAGCUACGGGAUAUUAGGAAAAGAGGGCGAAGGAGAGCAAGCUAGAAAUCCAACCAUCUUAGUUGUCAAGCUGCGGAAAUCUGUACGUAUAUAUCUGCUUUGGAUGUCAUCACUCUGUCAGCUAGUACAUAGUACACAGUUGGGUAAAACCUAAUACCCAGGCCGGCAUAUCAACAAUUGAAAUUAAACUGACAAAAUUUACACUAAACACUGAAAGCAGACCCUAACUAAUAAGUAUAAAUGUAUAAUAUACACUGAAAACAGAUUAGUUCUAUAUCAAUCUCACACUGCAAUUUAGUUUGCCAAUAUAAGUUACUUCCUCAAAUGUAACCACAUCAUAUAUUCAAUGUGGAUGAACCGAGCUUAGCUUGAAAUCUCUAACUUGGUAUCAGAUGAAACUAUCUUUCUAUAAAUUUUAUAGGGUUUCCUUAAUAAGUUUUGCAAAUUAGUGUGGCAAUGUUCUGUUUGUUGGCUCUAUCUGAAUCUCAUUUCCCCUCAUUUCUCAAAAGCAGAAAAGCUAUUGAUAGUUUGAAAAUUGAUGGUAGUGUUACACAUAUUUAGCUUAAAUCAACAAACUAAGUCACAGUCUUGAUAAUAUAUAUGUACUUGUAAAUAAGUUAAUGUCUCUCCAUAUCAAGCUUUCAAUAUAUGGUAUAUAUUCGCAAUUCUACUGAAAAACUAUCAGCCUCCAUCGAUCUCAAGAAGAAUGUGCUGAAGGAUAACCACCUUCAAGUGCCUAAUUAAGGAAACCCGAAACAAGAAGGUUACGUACCUAGAAGUUUAUCAGAAGCUUAUGCUAACAUAUCUCAUAAAUGAGUAGAUACACCUAAGUUAGCCGAUUCUAAAUGAGAAGUUAAGUUAAGCUGGCCAAGCCUAAAAUUCUUGUUACCAUGUCUUACCCGAAGUUGAUUUUGAUCCUGCAAUUAUAUUAUUGCUGGAGUGCUGGAUCAAUCAUCAAUUAUAUACCUAGGUACACUAGUACUGGCUCUGAGGCCAAUUGGUAAAACCCGAACAUGCAGGUGGUGUUUCUACAGCAUCAUAAUGAUAAUCUAUGAAAUUCUGUCUGCUUAUGCACUAAGAAUACGCCAACAGAUCACACAAUUGGAGAAUGUCGAUCACCGCCAUAACCACGACUAGGAGAUGAUCGAAUCUCUAAGAAUCAGGAAUCAACUCAUUGCAAGUAAAUAAUCAAAUGAACAUGCAUAGAAGUAAAUGAAACAAUUGGAAAGGUAGGUGAGUACCUUAAAGGCUCUCAAAGUAGCUCGGAGUAAUUUUCAUGAACCACAUCAACCAAUUAUGGACAUCAACUGUGAAAAUCAUGACUUAAUCAGUAACAUUAUCAGUAAUUGUAGACUUGAAGCAAUCAUUUCUUAAAAUCAAUGCAAAAAGCAUAUCCUCUGUCUAAACUUGAUACACAUGUGUAGAACACGCUGUUCAACUUCAAUUGCAAGGCAUGGCUAUGACCAUUAUAUUCUAAUUGAAAUGUCAUUUCCUGCUCACAUACUAAUUAAACUUUUAUAUACAACUUCAUAAGUGAAAAUUUCAUUUUGGAACAUUAGUGGAAUUUUCUUUGUUCUGGGUCUGAAAAAUAUAUAUACAAGUACGAGCAUAUGCGUAGAACGAGACUGCAAACUAGAACUUGAAGUUAAAACAUGAAUCGGUGCUUGAAAUCUUAAACCUUACAGAAUUUGUCUAGCUUUGGUUCUAGCUUAUGCGUAGAGAUAGGAGUCAUAAGACGCAGCUCUGGAUCUGAUUCAGAAGAUUAAUGCGUGUUUAAGUCGGAUUAUUACAUUAAUCACACGGUAAUUAAUAUGUAAAUAUAUGUAUCACCUACGUACGCACGUACCCUCUGGACUCUUCCAUCAGUGAACGACGUCGUCUGAAAUCAUUGAUUCUUUUCCGAUGGAAGUGAGCUGCAUGAUGCACAAUACUGUCCACGCCUCAACCCCGGCGGUGUAGUUCGUCAGCUUCCCUGAACUUAAGAAGCCUGCGUGCGCUCCAUCUCUUCCAUAUUAGUUUUUCCAAGGUUUUGUAAUUAAUCUUGUUCCUUUCUAGGUUUUCUGCUUGUUCUACUGGUGUAGCUUCUGUUCGUUGGGCUUGCCUUGUUCUGUUUGUUACUCUUUCUGGGCUUUCUUUUUGUUACUCAAGCCCAGAAAUUCAAAUAGUACUAUUUUAGGUUUCCAUCUUGAAAAAGUUACUACAGUGCAGCAGCUUUAUGAAUUUAUUUACUGUGAACUAGUUAUUGCAUCACGGCAUACGCACAAGUUAAGAAUAACCAUUGAACUAGAUACGAAACAAAAUCAUAUUGUAAUUUUCUUAGAGAAGAAUUUCGUUGCAACUUAGUUUUGAGUCUAUUAUCAUGACACUAUCUUUCACAAACUGAAAAACUUAUCGCGUCUGUUAGAUGCUUAGAGACCUAUAAUUAAAACGGUGACCCUUCCACCACAUAUCAUGACUUCAUUCUUGAUUUUUGGUUCAGAGUUGCUCGAUAGUCCAUAGAAUACCAAAAGUGCUAAAAGCUCUAGAGGUUAUGAAGUGCAUGAGGGCAAAUAAUCAGCAGCAGCAGCGAGUUAUAAGUUAUUACAACACAAUCAUCACACCAAAUCCAAAAACAUAUAUAGAAAGGUUUACUUGACCUCUACCUCGCAUGAUCAUGAAGCUUCGGAUCGGAGUUCAAACGACAACCUUCUUGAUCGAUCGAGUUGAGCUUUAACUUGCAAGUAAUGGUUGCUGCUGCCGCCUAACUGAAGAGCUAGCUUGAUUUUGUUAACCUCUAAGAAAGGAAAAUAUGCCAACUUCAAAGCAAACGGAUUGAGAAAGUAAAAGAGCACGAGAGACCUUGAUCUAUAUAUAUAUAUAUAUAUAUAUAUAGUCUGGCAAGUCCGCUGUUUUGAAGGUCAAAAACCAUGUCUUUCCUUUUAUCCCUUUUUCUUAUUUGGCCCAAUAAUUAAACGUGUUUUUUC